This 760-nucleotide unclassified non-coding RNA is filed under the name Saccharomyces cerevisiae (brewer's yeast). RNAcentral describes it as "partial contains ITS1, 5.8S rRNA, ITS2". The stretch from base 369 to 522 matches the Rfam family "5.8S ribosomal RNA". The record is from RNAcentral. Lineage: Eukaryota; Fungi; Ascomycota; Saccharomycetes; Saccharomycetales; Saccharomycetaceae.
AAGAAAUUUAAUAAUUUUGAAAAUGGAUUUUUUUUUUUUGUUUUGGCAAGAGCAUGAGAGCUUUUACUGGGCAAGAAGACAAGAGAUGGAGAGUCCAGCCGGGCCUGCGCUUAAGUGCGCGGUCUUGCUAGGCUUGUAAGUUUCUUUCUUGCUAUUCCAAACGGUGAGAGAUUUCUGUGCUUUUGUUAUAGGACAAUUAAAACCGUUUCAAUACAACACACUGUGGAGUUUUCAUAUCUUUGCAACUUUUUCUUUGGGCAUUCGAGCAAUCGGGGCCCAGAGGUUAACAAACACAAACAAUUUUAUCUAUUCAUUAAAUUUUUGUCAAAAACAAGAAUUUUCGUAACUGGAAAUUUUAAAAUAUUAAAAACUUUCAACAACGGAUCUCUUGGUUCUCGCAUCGAUGAAGAACGCAGCGAAAUGCGAUACGUAAUGUGAAUUGCAGAAUUCCGUGAAUCAUCGAAUCUUUGAACGCACAUUGCGCCCCUUGGUAUUCCAGGGGGCAUGCCUGUUUGAGCGUCAUUUCCUUCUCAAACAUUCUGUUUGGUAGUGAGUGAUACUCUUUGGAGUUAACUUGAAAUUGCUGGCCUUUUCAUUGGAUGUUUUUUUUUUCCAAAGAGAGGUUUCUCUGCGUGCUUGAGGUAUAAUGCAAGUACGGUCGUUUUAGGUUUUACCAACUGCGGCUAAUCUUUUUUAUACUGAGCGUAUUGGAACGUUAUCGAUAAGAAGAGAGCGUCUAGGCGAACAAUGUUCUUAAAGU